Oryza barthii is the source of this 207-nucleotide non-coding RNA. The record is from Rfam. NCBI's taxonomy places the organism in Eukaryota, Viridiplantae, Streptophyta, Magnoliopsida, Poales, Poaceae.
AAAAAAACAAACCCUGGUUUUUCGUGUCCAACGUUUGAUCGUACGUCUUAUUUAAAAAAAAUAUGAAAAAAAUUAAAAAGAUAAGUCACGCAUAAAAUAUUAAUCAUGUUUUAUCAUCUAACAACAAUGAAAAUACUAAUUAUAAAAAGAUUUCAUAUAAGACGGACAGUCAAACGUUGGACACGGAAAUUUAGGGUUUGUCUUUUU